Anas platyrhynchos (mallard) is the source of this 1702-nucleotide non-coding RNA. NCBI's taxonomy places the organism in Eukaryota, Metazoa, Chordata, Aves, Anseriformes, Anatidae. The record is from RefSeq and is a predicted model, not a curated record.
GACAAAAAACAGAAGAAGGAUGUAGCACAAAAUGCUAUUUUUAAUGCUACAAUCAUUCUCUCAACGGGAAGAUUUCAAUAUAACUAAACCUGGGAGAAAUACCACAUUUUCUGUUCUUGUGAUUUGAUUAUUAACUAUGUAAGCAAGGAAUUAUAUUUCAUAUGAAGUGUGAAAAUAGCUAAUUUGGUACUGACUACCCAUUGCUAUAAUAUUAGACCUGGGAUUUUUUAUUUUGCAGUCAGAGAAAUGUUAUUGAAAUGAAGUGCAUGGAUUAAUACAAAUUAAUUACGCUGGCAAAGGCUGCCAGCUUUGCAUUCCCCAGAAGCAAAGCCUUCUGAUCUGAGUUCUGCAGUUAAGUAUGGAAGAGAUAUGAGAAUGAAUGAUGCUGCAGAGGUAAAUGCAAAUAGCACCCAGCCCAUAUCACCAUGCUGUGAAAAUCCUUCCCAGGCUGUGCUGGGACGUUCCUAGGAUGACCCUGCUACAUAUAGUCCUGCUCUGCCCAGAAUAAUACCACUGCUCUAAAAAUACAACCUGCUUUCUGUAGGCUUCAACAAGUAAUGAAGUCCAAAACUUUUCUUCCUCUUAAAUUCACUUGGAAAGGAGAAACAAAAAGAUGUAUAAUACUGUAGGGCGAUGUUCUUUCAUCUCUAGAGACCCAGGCUCAAACAGAACAAGAAGCUGGUUCAGAUGCUUUGAAAGGAUAUAUUAAGAAACUUUUUUCAGGAGUGUAGAAAAUAUUAUGGAAGCUCAAGAGAGUAAGGUCUGAGGCUAUUCUGGCAGAAUGAAGAACCAAUAUGUUAACAUCUGUCCAGGGCAAAUAACAAGAGGGGAAGCUGCCUCAAACUAUGACUCACAUCAGGACUUUUUGCAGGAAAUUCUUCCAGAAGGACAAAGUUUAGUGAUCAGCUUGCAGGAGGACAUGAGCAGAAUUGCAAGCACGUACGCUGCUCGUCCCAGUGACAUCCUUUCUGCCAAACUGUGAGGCAUGCAAUCUGUUUUGUUCUGAAGCUAGGAAGUGCCGACAGGUGUCGUGCUCCCCAGCCUCCCUGUGGAUGGGAUGGGGCCACAGGUCAUCAAGUCCUACCAAGGGAGACCCUACGGUUCCUGCUGGACCCGUCCCUGAGGCUGCAUAGAGGCUGCUGUGGUCCAGUGUUCACAGCUGGAUUUCAGACAGUGAGUUAAUAUGCCCCAAGGAAAAAACAAAACAAAACAAACAAACAAAAAAACACCCCUCAUCUUUAAGUGUUUUCCAUCCAAAGAAUAAUACCGCUAAAACCUCCCAAAAUCAAGAAGGUGAGGACUAAACAGAGGUGAACCUCGCUUAAAUGCCUGGAAAAAAAAAAAAAAAAAAAAGGAGAAAGCUUCAACAGCACUAGUAAGUAAAAGGAAGAAGGUCAUUGGUUUGGGAUAGAUGCGAAUGGAUAAACUUUCUUUUAUGAAAAAUACAAGUGGAUUUACAUUAUUGAAUAGGUAUGGAUCAACAGAAAGAACAAAAUUAAUCACCCAAAAGGUAUUGGAAAAAAAAUCCUUCAAACAAAGGUGGAAGAAAGCUGUAAAUUAAGAAAGCCAAGCUUACUGAAAAUGAUGGUAUUCAGAUAAAAAAUCCUUUCUGAGAAAGAAUUGUGGAAAUUAAAGAGCAGUUUCAUUUACUUUCAUGCAUAUUUCUUAUUUCAAAAUAAUAAAUUAAUCCCACUUUCUUUGA